AGAACCUUAAGUUAAUUAAACUGGAAGCCUUCAAAGCUUUCUAUGGUGAGUGUGUCUCCAGGUUCUG
RNAcentral lists this transfer RNA (67 nucleotides) under Cittarium pica. Its description in RNAcentral is "tRNA-Trp". Lineage: Eukaryota; Metazoa; Mollusca; Gastropoda; Trochida; Tegulidae. The record is from RNAcentral.